CCGUGCUAGACGGGGAGGUAGCGGUGCCCUGUAACUCGCAAUCCGCUAUAGCGAGGUUGAAUUCCUGUUAGAGGUUUUGUUGAUGUGAGGCUUGGUAUUCGUCUUUGGUGUUGACGGCCGGGUCCUUCGCAAUGGAUACCUAUGAAUCUGGUCAGGUCCGGAAGGAAGCAGCCAUAAGUAGGGUUUUUCAUGUGCCGGAGGAAGCCUGACCUGAGCUGUAAGACGAAGGUGCCGCUCGGAUCACAAUUAUCAAUAACAGGUGCACGG
This 267-nucleotide signal recognition particle RNA is filed under the name Paenibacillus thiaminolyticus. RNAcentral describes it as "signal recognition particle sRNA large type". It matches the Rfam family "Bacterial large signal recognition particle RNA". Rfam says of the family: The signal recognition particle (SRP) is a universally conserved ribonucleoprotein involved in the co-translational targeting of proteins to membranes. Lineage: Bacteria; Bacillati; Bacillota; Bacilli; Caryophanales; Paenibacillaceae. The record is from RNAcentral.